This 696-nucleotide ribosomal RNA is filed under the name Maudiozyma exigua. RNAcentral's name for it is "eukaryotic LSU rRNA". The stretch from base 241 to 394 matches the Rfam family "5.8S ribosomal RNA". The record is from RNAcentral. Lineage: Eukaryota; Fungi; Ascomycota; Saccharomycetes; Saccharomycetales; Saccharomycetaceae.
GGAAGGAUCAUUAAAGAAAAUGAUGAAUAAUUGGUAGAGGAGGAGUGAUCGAGCCUGCGCUUAAGUGCGCGGCGAGGUUGUUCUUUUUCGUUACGCCGAUAAUUCUUUACACACACUGGAGUUUUAUUUCUACAGUAUCGGAGGUAGCAAUACCGCCAAAACAAAACACAAACAAUUAUUUUUUAUUAUUUUAAUUUGUCAUUUCAAAAUCUGCUUUAUUGCAGUAACCAAAAUAUUCAAAACUUUCAACAACGGAUCUCUUGGUUCUCGCAUCGAUGAARAACGCAGCGAAAUGCGAUACGUAAUGUGAAUUGCARAAUUCCGUGAAUCAUCGAAUCUUUGAACGCACAUUGCACCCCUUGGUAUUCCAGGGGGCAUGCCUGUUUGAGCGUCAUUUCCUUCUCAAAUACUUGUAUUUGGUUGUGAGUGACACUCAGUCUUGCAUUGAGUUAACUUGAAAUUGUUGGCCGUAGCGGUUGUUGCAGCUUAUAGUUUUUGUGUAAUGGUAUGAUUUCUUUACUAUUAAACAGGAUGCUUGAGCAUGUCGUAUUAGGUUUUACCAACUCCGGCAGACUCGGUAUCUUGGAAGAGCGUACUGGCAUUAGAACAUUGAACUGUCGACUGUGGCAAACAGUACUCUUUAAGUUUGACCUCAAAUCAGGUAGGAAUACCCGCUGAACUUAAGCAUAUCAAUAA